GGGCAGUGUGAUAUACUGGCAAUUCUUAUAGGUGUGAUACCUUCUUUGUUCUGCUUUUUUACAUCUGCAUUCCAUAUAAUCAAUAGUUUUACAAUUUCGAUACAGUCUUUAUAUUUCUUUUUAUAUGCAUGUUUAUUCGUUCUAAACUGAUCGAAAGGGUCAAUUAUACAAGCUGCAUGUAAAGGUGACUGUCCUCCUGGUUGUUC
Molecule: long non-coding RNA, 206 nt
Filed under: Mytilus galloprovincialis (Mediterranean mussel)
Lineage: Eukaryota; Metazoa; Mollusca; Bivalvia; Mytilida; Mytilidae
Source: RNAcentral